AUUGAACGCUGGCGGCAUGCUUUACACAUGCAAGUCGAGCGGCAGCGCGGGGGCAACCCUGGCGGCGAGCGGCGGACGGGUGAGUAAUGCAUCGGAACGUAUCCCGUAGUGGGGGACAACCCAGCGAAAGCUGGGCUAAUACCGCAUAUGCUCUACGGAGGAAAGCAGGGGACUCGCAAGAGCCUUGUGCUAUGGGAGCGGCCGAUGUCCGAUUAGCUAGUUGGUGGGGUAAAGGCUUACCAAGGCGACGAUCGGUAGCUGGUCUGAGAGGAUGAUCAGCCACACUGGGACUGAGACACGGCCCAGACUCCUACGGGAGGCAGCAGUGGGGAAUUUUGGACAAAUGGGGGCGAACCCUCGAUCCAGCCAUGCGCGUGCGGGAAGAAGGCC
Molecule: ribosomal RNA, 390 nt
Filed under: uncultured bacterium
Lineage: Bacteria
Description: bacterial SSU rRNA
Rfam family: Bacterial small subunit ribosomal RNA
Source: RNAcentral